UUUGUUAUUUGUAUAUUUAUUCAAAAUAAUAUCUAAUCAGACGCGUAAAAAUUUGAAAUAAAGAUUAUUUGUGGUUAACCUUCCGUGAGAAAACUCGCCCACACCUGAACUCUCCCAAUACACUCAAUUGCAACAUGGAAUGAUGAGAGAUCCAGAAGCAAACGGCCACAAAUGUGACUGUCUCACGGAAGCAACAUGGAAAAUAGUACUCGGAAUGGUUGAUAGUAGUAGAUUGACAUACUUGCGCAUGUAGUCUAUAAUACUAGUUAAUGAUCCUUCCGCAGGUUCACCUACGGAAA
This 299-nucleotide unclassified non-coding RNA is filed under the name uncultured fungus. Its description in RNAcentral is "sequence contains ITS1". Lineage: Eukaryota; Fungi. The record is from RNAcentral.